AUGAAUAUAUCCUCCUGCAGUAUAAACAACUUAUGAGAUCCAGAAUAUGGCUUAGAAACUUAGAAAUCCUAAUCGAACAUAUAUCCUAUCGAUGACUCUUUAGACACUUGACUCUCUGAGACAAAUCUACAUGAUGCAGGAAAUGAUAAAAGACAUGAAAGAAUGCAUAAGAUAAAAUAGAAGAACAAAUUAGAUAAACAGGAGAAAAAACAAUGGAUCCGGGGAAGAAUCCCCUUCUCCAUCGCCUAACCCUAAGAAAACAAAAUUUUAGUGGCUCAAAAACUCACAGGAGCACACACCCGAUUACGACUGCUAAGAAAUGUAUUUAUAGGUCCUAAGUUCUUCCAGGUCACAAUUAGAACUUCUCUGAAGAGGAAUAACGAAAUGGGCCUUGAUGUUAGGCCUUGUGGCUCGGCAUAGGUCCACUGGCGGUGAGAGUCCUCCAGGGCAGGUGGAAUGCUUGUUUGCCAAGGGUGAGAGUCUUCCAGGACUGGUGAAUUUGGACAACUUGGUCUUCACAUAACUUUUGAUUGCACCGUCUGAUUGUGCCGAUGUAAAGUGCUAUUAAAAGCUUGUUGUCUCCUCUUGAAAGUCUCUAAAUUUGAGCUGGAUCAGACGGUGACAAAGUCUUAAUUUGAGGUUGGAACUCUAACAGUCUGACUCUGAGCUAAAAAUAUGGAUUUCUUCUAUUUUGCCAUGGUUUUCCCUAAGUUUCCUGAAAAGAGCCUUGAAACUACAAAAAUAGAAAAUCAUAAUAAAAGUUCCUAAAACUAAUUAAAAUCUUUGAAAAAGCAUUUGAAAUCAAUGGUGACAAUAGGUACAAAUAUGGUGUUAUCAACUCCCCCAGACUUAGACUUUGCUUGUCCUCAAACAAAACAAGAUCCAAUCUAGAAAAAUAUCAUCAACAGAAAUCAUAGGGAACUCAAAAAUAACAGUAACCAUACUUCUAGACCUUAACUAGGGGAAAUGCAUCAAUCAGAUCAAGUCUAGAAAAUUCUCACCAAAAUACAGACAUAACUAAUCCGUUAAUUCGUCAUGCGAAAAUCCACACACUUAAAACUAACUUCCAGUCAACUAGCUCUUAACAUUCAUUAAAGGUUUCAGUGAUUCUCAUCAAAAGAAUUUUAAACAAGGCAUUCAAGGCUAGGUAUUCAGGGGAUUUUUAUAGUGAGGUUUGAUGUGUUUAGGGUUACCUUUUCUGGAGAGACAUGAUAUUAUGCAAAACAGAAAGAGAGGAUGGAGAUGUUGAUAUCCACAGUUUCCAGUCACAUUCUUCUUGCUUUAAGAUUUCUUAUCUCCUUUCUUCAGGCUCUCCUUAUAACUCAUGCAGACAUGGAUUUUUUUUCCAGGUUGUGAAACCAUAACUCCAUAGAUAAAUAUUUGUAGCCUUGGCUCAAAUGAUUUCGGCUUCUAAGACUCUUUAGGCUUUUGGUUUUCUUUCCUUUCGUUUUUUUUUCUCUUUUUUUUUUGUUUUUUGUUGUUUUUUUGGAAAGGGGAUACCUUUUCACAUGUUGUUCUGAUGACUUCAGCAAAUGCCUGUUGGCUGCGGCUGAAAGCUCCUCGGCCGCGGUCAGCUCCUUUUCUUCUCUUUUUUUUUAUAAUUUUUUUUGAUGCAUACUAAGGGUUGUAAUAAAAUGAAAAAGAAAACUUCAAUAGAAAAAGAAACUAGAAUAAUAGGUACCUAGAUAGGUUGCCUCCUAUCAAGCGCUUUGGUUUAUAGUCCUUAACUAGAAUUUGCAAAGAAAAAGGCUAAGUUCAAAUAAGAUCUUGUCCUAAGACAAGUAUUUUUCGAAAUCCUUCUGUUCUCUCUUGCAGGUUCUUCAUCCAGAGUUCUUCUGGUUCGAAUGCUUGUGUUUUAUGCUUUCCUCCUUUGCUCUUAAGUGGUGUAGCUUCAUAGAAGAUGUCCUUGUCGAUAUUUUCAAAAGAAACUCUCCGGUUGGGCCAAUCCAUGCAUGGCUCCAACAGUUGCUAAGUAGGGUCAUCCAAUGAUAACUGGAUAUAAGUCAUCUUUGGUCUUCACUAUGUAGAGAUCGACAUGUGCUAGGCAAUCUCCAGUCCUUAGAGGAAUGUCUCGGGCUAUCCCUCUUGGAGUUUCACUUGAAUCAUCUGCUAAGCUAAUUUUUCCUGAUACUUGAAAUGUGUUUAAUUUCAGGUCUCAAAGUAGUAGCUUUGGACAUCAUGUUAAUACAAACUCAAGAAUCACAAAGAACAUUGAGAAAUUUUCACCUCUAAUGUCACAAGAGAUAACAAAUGGACCUUUGUCUUGAACUUUGUGCAGGGUUCGAACUGGUCUACUUUCUUGGAUGUGUGUGAAUAAGUCUUUCAUCUCUUGGAUAGACUCUUUGCUGUCACAGAAGAAGUAGCCGAUCAUGUAGUCACUACAUGCUUUGACAAACGAAAUUCCUUUGGGCAGACUCUGAACUACUUGAUUGAACUCUUCAAGUUUUUCUUUGCUGAUCUUUUUUGUGUAAUCACUGGCUUUUUGUGGGUCUUUGAGAUGGAUCCUGUAAAUAUCUGCAUCAGACGAUGAUCUAGGAAAAGAUAGGUACCUGGCUCUCCUGAAAUAUGUGUAGAUGUUCUCCUUGGUGUCCUUGUUGUAUUUGAAGAAAACUUAUAGGCAGCCUUGCUUCCAAAUAUCAUCGAAUCCAUGGUAGAGAGGAAUGGAUUUCACAAUUUGUUGAAUUCGUUCAGUCUUUCUCUGGAUAUGCUCUUGGUUAUUGGUUCUGAGUUGCUACUAGAUGAAUUGUCUCCAGGGUUUGCAUCUUCAACAAACAAACCAUACUCUUCAUCUUCUGAGAAUUGCUCUUGAAGCUCAUUAUCACAAGUGUAAACUAUGUUGCAAGGUGCAUAAGUGUUGGAUUCCUCCUUUUCUUUGAUGCUUGUGCAGUGAUUGAGAAGACAGCUUGAUCAAACAACCUAGUUCUGGUCACAAAGGGUAGAUCUUCAGUUGAACAGGUUUUGAGAAAGAGGUUGAAAGGACUCCUUGUCUGAAAAAUCAGGCUCCACCACGGGUGAAGUGUUCGGAGCCGUGGUGGAAGUGAGCCUGGCCGCGGGUGAAGUGCUCGCAUCCGCGGUCAGCUUUCCUCGACUCACAAUGCUUGCUUCUUCAUUAUCUUCUUCUCCAUUAUUGUUAUCUUGCUUCCAGUGGUUGUCAGGCUAAUUAAAACCUUUGAAAAAAACCUUUGAAUUUUCUAAAACUAAUUAAAACCUUUGAAAAAGCAUUGAAAUCAAUGGUGAAAAUGUGUACAAAUACGGUGUUAUCAGUGCUUCAUGAAUUGAUUAGAAAAUUAGACCUAAAGCCAUAUCGUUUUUUGCUCCUUUGGUUAUACCUCCCAGAUUUUGUGGAUUUUAAAAAACCUUCAAACAUAUCGGCCCCACAGUAUAGUUGGUAGAGUUUAGCAUGGGACAUUGUAUUGAAGACGUAUUCACCUCCUUCGUUCGAGUGGCUGGGACGAUAUCCCCCAUGGUUUGAAUUUUAAUGAUCUUCGUAUUCAACUUUCUCUUCUUGGAUCGUCUGAUACCAAUUAUGGUUUGAAUGUUUUAAGUUCAAUAAUAUAAAAGCUCUCCUUUUAUUAGUUUAGGAAAAUCACUCAAAAUUUAAAGCUCUCAAUCUCAAUAGUUGUACCACAACUUGGUAUCUCCUUAUAUAGAAAAUGAAUUAGAUAACUCCUAAUUCCAAUAAAAAUACAAUUUUUCUUAUUCUUUAGAUAACUCCUAAGAAUUAUCCCUAAAACACUUUAGCUUAUUUCUUAAUCAUUUUAGAAAAUAGUUUAAUCUAACUUGUUGCUCAAAUCAUCUUUCAAACUUAAUCCAACAUCGUUUUCGUUUGCUUGUGCCAUAUAGUGAUUAUGAUAUCGAAAAGCCAAUAGAAUCUGUAAAUUAUUAUGCUGAUAAAGCAAUUAAAAGGUGAAUAUUUUUCAUUUAGAACUAAAUUAAUGUAAUAGAUAUACAAGAAGGGCCAGUGUCGAUAUAUAAUUAUAUAUUAUCAGUUUAUCACUGUCACAUAGCAUUUAAUAUCACUACCCGACCGAUGGGAAACAUUGGGCUUUUCACAUAGAAAGAUUGGGCUUUUCACUUAACUAACAUGCAUCUCGUACAUCGUAGUAUAACUAAUUAAUGAUUUUUUAAAUGUGUUUAAUAUUUUAUUAUAUAAAGUUAGAGCACCAUCAACAUAAAUAUGACAUGUAAGGUAAUUAUAAAUCAUCAUAAUGUAAUAUGUGUUAUUGUUAAUUUAGAUUGUGACAUGUCUGAAUGUAAUAAUAUAAGUAGAUAUAGCUAAAUAAAAUCUAACUGAAUAAAUAAAAACGUCCAGUUAGGAAAAACAAACCAAGAUGAAAAGCUUUAUGAAAACCAGUCUAUAACGAGUAAAGAAACCGCAACAGAGCAGAACUAGAUUGCUGUCUCCUAGUCGCGGGUCAAACCUAGCCUAGAAAUCCACAGAGACAGAAGACAACAAACCAAGCAAAACACCAGCACCCUUGAUUGAAAGAAUACCUUACUGCGCCGCAAGAGUUGAAACACAACUGUUGUGAGACCAUCGACUCAACCAAAGAGUGCAAAAACCUAGAAGACACUCGUAUAAAACUCACCAGGAUAAGCACCGGGGAGCGCAAUGUCCGAGAAUGGCCUUACCUCUGCACCAUUCCUCUGCAUCCGAGGCGAAGCAGCGGUUGGAGCGGCGAGUUCUAGGCUUUUGUCUCCGUAAGUUUGGAAGUGCUAGAAGACGGUAAUGAUAUCUCAGAGGUUUGAGGUCGAAAAAUAGGUGUUUGAAGCUCCUAAUUUCCCUCUAUGACAGAAGUCGCAAAACAAUUCAGUUGGUGGUGAUGUGAGUAGGUGGAUCCAAGUAAGCAGCUGAGGCGACUAUCGGCAGUGGCCGAGUAGUUUUUCCUUCCCACAUGUGCAUUUAAGCCUGAUGAGGUUAUUCUUCUCUCAGCCGGAUUGAAGGUUUCUGUAUGAUAUGUGAUGCUAUUGGAUGCAAGGGUUUACUCCUAACUUCACGUUUUAAUUUGUAACCCUAAAUGUUUGCAAGUGUAUAAAUGUGUGUUGUAGUACUUAGGCGUCAAAUCAAAAAGACUUUGAUGUUUUAGUAUGAAUCAGUCUAAUACUUAAAACAUAUAGAACAAACUCAAUGGGGGUUGGUUAUGGUGUGUCACAAAUUCUAAACUAGCAAACGAAAUUAAUGAGGUUGUAAGCAAUAAAAAUGAAAUACUGGGCUUAAGAAAAUUUUCAGGGAUUCAUGCACUAAUCUAAUGAUACUUAAACAACUUGAUAAAUGUAUAUUGACUAAAGAAAUUCUGGAACUCGAAUAUACAGAUGUAUGAUUUCCUAUUGUUACAAAACUAAAUAACUAAUCACUCUCAACUCGACCAGUAGUUUUCGUCUAUAGCUGUCAGGGAGAUCAUUCAAUAUCGACGAGAUUCAAUUAUACUCACGAUACUCUAUAGGUAACUUUUGUCUCCUACAAUGAUUUCACUCGUUGUAAUUAAGUGGGACUGUUGUGGGUUCUAAUUCAACCUAAUAUCAGUUUCUAAGUGGCCAGCAAAAAUUCAUGCAGUAGUAAUAAAAACGAACGAAGAACUCCUAGAAGAUUAUGAACCCUAAAUUUAACAAUUCAACAAAUCAAAACAUGGAAUUCCAUUUGAAAAAUCCCUUUAAACUCAACUGGAAAAUUACUUAGACUUGGUGUAACAAAGCAUCACAAAAGUAUUAAAGGUUGUUGGCAUUAAAGAAAUAAAAGAACGAAGAACGAAGAACACUAAUGAAGAUGGAGAUUCGAUGAUGCUCUUCUUGUUGGCUCCCUCUUCUUGGUGGCUACUCUCUAAAAUUUCCUAAUGAAAUCGAGCGCACUUCUUUGGAUGACCUAAAAGAAGUAUAUAUAGUCUCUGGGGUCGUCGUGAAUUUCUAGGGUUUUCAGAAUAAAUGAAGGGAAUGACUUGGGCUUAAAACAUUCCUCUUAGAUUCCAGAAAUCGGUCCACCGCGGUCGUGAUAGCUGGAGCUGCGGUAAAAUGCAUCAUGGCCAUGGGUGACGGGUCAGACGUUGAUUGAUAUCAAGGCAGUGUCGUAUGCCUUCAGUGCAUCAAGAAUAUCUGAAUAUGUAACUAUUGGAAUGUCACCAAGCCAAUUGAAUUAGAAAUCUGGUUGUCUCCUAAUGUUGUGUAAAGUUUGGGGAUAAUUAGACGGUGAGAAGAUCUUCAUUCGUUGUCAAAGUUCUGACCGUAUGAAUGUAUCCAGAAGUAUUAUUUUGCUCCAAAAUGCACUUCUUUAGUCCAAGUAAUCUGAAAAGUCUUUUGAAACCUUAAAACAUAGAAAUCACUUAAAAUCAUUGAAAACUAAGUUAAAACUAAUAUAAAAUAUUAAGAUUAUCCAUAAAAAUGGUCAAAAUACAGUGUUUUUAACUCUCUGAUAUUUAAAUCUUUGUUUGUUCUCAAACAAAACAGAGAUUAAAGUUGGAAAAGAAAUCAUAACAACGCAGAAAUUAUCAGGACUUAGUCUAGAAAAUUCUCACCAAAGUGCUGCAACACUAGGCUACGAUCUCGAUCAAUCUAAACCUUAGUGCUAGUCAGUUAACUCUCUACAUUCAUUAAAUGGUAGACGACAUUCAGUACAAAAGGCUAUUUGAAUAGUGGAGUUAAAGUGUUUCAGAUUACUUUAAGCUUUGAAGGAUACAAAAUAUUAUACAUAACCGAAAGAGAGUAUGAACCUGUUGAUAUUCAUAGCUUUCUGUCAUUUCUUCUUGCGAGAUGGUUGUCCCUUUUUAAUCUAGGAUUUUGCCAAAAUGUUUUAUAAAAAAAUGUAAUAGUUAAAAUAUAAACAAAUAUAGUUCUCUAAUCUAAUUUUGAAAAAUAAGUGGUACAAAACAUCGGUAUAACGUAAGUUUUCGUUUUUUUUUUCUCCGUACUUUUAAAUUGUAGACAGAACAUAUCAAAAGAAAGAGAAUAAAGUUUCCAUGGGAAUACAAAAUAUUUAACAACUACUCCAACAAAUUUCAGUACACAAGAACACUAUGAAACUUUCGUUAAACGCCUUUAGGAUUUGGAACCUUGAUGCCAUCGAUAGAAUCAUACCACACUAUAAAGAUGCUAUCCUGCUUCUAAAACCAAGUAUGAGAGGAGUACCUGAUAAGAAAGUGUGGCUAAAGCACCCCUCUGGGGAGUACACGGUCAAAUCAGGAUGUAAAGCGGAAGCAGAGGAGUAUGGGAGUACUCCUGUUCUGAAUUGGAUCGCACCGGUGGAUUGGUAUAAACAGGUCUGGGAUCUUAGCAUCUCUCCCAAAAUAAAGCUUUUCAUCUGGAAAGCCAUCUGAGGUGCGUUACCUGUUGGGGAACAAAUGUUAGCAAGACAAAUCCC
RNAcentral lists this long non-coding RNA (7348 nucleotides) under Eutrema salsugineum. Its description in RNAcentral is "long non-coding RNA (ESAL_LNC000228)". Lineage: Eukaryota; Viridiplantae; Streptophyta; Magnoliopsida; Brassicales; Brassicaceae. The record is from RNAcentral.